RNAcentral lists this ribosomal RNA (496 nucleotides) under uncultured bacterium. RNAcentral's name for it is "partial 16S ribosomal RNA". It matches the Rfam family "Bacterial small subunit ribosomal RNA", at positions 28 to 507 of the family's 1533-position model. The record is from RNAcentral.
GAUGAACGCUGGCGGCGUGCCUAAUACAUGCAAGUCGAGCGAACGGACGAGAAGCUUGCUUCUCUGAUGUUAGCGGCGGACGGGUGAGUAACACGUGGAUAACCUACCUAUAAGACUGGGAUAACUUCGGGAAACCGGAGCUAAUACCGGAUAAUAUUUUGAACCGCAUGGUUCAAAAGUGAAAGACGGUCUUGCUGUCACUUAUAGAUGGAUCCGCGCUGCAUUAGCUAGUUGUAAGGUAACGGCUUACCAAGGCAACGAUGCAUAGCCGACCUGAGAGGGUGAUCGGCCACACGGGAACUGAGACACGGUCCAGACUCCUACGGGAGGCAGCAGUAGGGAAUCUUCCGCAAUGGGCGAAAGCCUGACGGAGCAACGCCGCGUGAGUGAUGAAGGUCUUCGGAUCGUAAAACUCUGUUAUUAGGGAAGAACAUAUGUGUAAGUAACUGUGCACAUCUUGACGGUACCUAAUCAGAAAGCCACGGCUAACUACGUA